Molecule: ribosomal RNA, 578 nt
Filed under: Colletotrichum sp. ITCC 4849
Lineage: Eukaryota; Fungi; Ascomycota; Sordariomycetes; Glomerellales; Glomerellaceae
Description: eukaryotic LSU rRNA
Rfam family: 5.8S ribosomal RNA (bases 215-368)
Source: RNAcentral
CGUAACAAGGUCUCCGUUGGUGAACCAGCGGAGGGAUCAUUACUGAGUUUACGCUCUAUAACCCUUUGUGAACAUACCUAUAACUGUUGCUUCGGCGGGUAGGGUCUCCGUGACCCUCCCGGCCUCCCGCCCCCGGGCGGGUCGGCGCCCGCCGGAGGAUAACCAAACUCUGAUUUAACGACGUUUCUUCUGAGUGGUACAAGCAAAUAAUCAAAACUUUUAACAACGGAUCUCUUGGUUCUGGCAUCGAUGAAGAACGCAGCGAAAUGCGAUAAGUAAUGUGAAUUGCAGAAUUCAGUGAAUCAUCGAAUCUUUGAACGCACAUUGCGCCCGCCAGCAUUCUGGCGGGCAUGCCUGUUCGAGCGUCAUUUCAACCCUCAAGCUCUGCUUGGUGUUGGGGCCCUACAGCUGAUGUAGGCCCUCAAAGGUAGUGGCGGACCCUCCCGGAGCCUCCUUUGCGUAGUAACUUUACGUCUCGCACUGGGGUCCGGGAGGGACUCUUGCCGUAAAACCCCCAAUUUUCCAAAGGUUGACCUCGGAUCAGGUAGGAAUACCCGCUGAACUUAAGCAUAUCAAUA